AUCUCUCCUCCUCCAUCCAAGGACCUCCAGUUCCCUCCCAGCACCAGAGUCAGUCAUCUUUGCUAGCUCAUUGCAGCAGCAGCAUCCGUCGAGGAAGCAAAUGGCGGUUACUCUGAAGCUCAGGGUCCUCGCCGUGGCGGCCACCGCCACAGUUGUGGCGUCCUCGCUGGUCGCCACGGCCUCUGCGGCCGACGGACCAGCUCCCGCACCGGCCUCCAGCGCGUCGGCGGCCGCCCCUGUCCUCGCCAUGGCGUCCCUCACCGCGCUCGUCUUCGGCUACUUCUUCUGAGGGGCCAUGGGUUCAAGCACAAUUCUUUGCGGAUUUUCUUUGGUUCUUCUUGUGUUCAUACAUGAUAUGAGUACAUACUGUAAAUUUACAUGUUCUUUUCUAUUUUUAACAGAAAAAUUGUUGGGUGAAUGCAUUCGUUUAUUCGAUAAAGGAUGCUUUUUUAUGAUGUACUGUAAGAUGAAAGGGAUACAAACAUAUCAAGCGCACACCCCGCGUCUGUAUGAUUAAUAUACACACAACCAACAUGUAGGCAUAAACAAAGGAUCACACCAGAAAAUAGUAAAGUCAUAUAAGACCGAUGGUAUGCCUAAAUUAAGGAACAUUUUAAAAUAUUAAAAAAAAAAAAUACUUAGGGGGAUCCCAUGCCUCCGUCACAAGUAUACGUCGAUGGUAAAUUUUGGCAUAACCGCCGCCACCAAACAGUGCACUACCAGCCGUCAUUGUAUCAUGGUGACCGCAACCUGCCGCCACUAGCUGUGUCGAGCAUGGGCCAAUAGCUCCUGUGCGACGUCUUUCCUGGUAAUUGGAAGCAGUGCGACAUCUUUCGAUGAAAUAGCUCUCGUGCGACGGUUUGAAGGAAGAAAAUAGCUCACGGCCACACAUGCGAUAAAACCUUAGUCAACUAGUUCAAUUUGCGUUAAGUCAUGUCUUACCUAAUUUGGGCCCAAAUUAAUUAGCACCGCAUCUCGUGAAACUGCCCGACUAGAACUGUCCGACAUCUUCAGCUCCGGCGGCGGCUACGGCGGAGGAGCCCUCUUUCUCGGCGGCGGAGGAGCCCCCUUUCGGCGGCGGCGGCGGCCAUGGUGGUGAGUGAAUUCGAUACUCUAGUCCCAAUCCCCUCCGCCUUGUAGAUCUGAGCUCUCUGUUUUGCUUGGUGAAAUCGAUAGAAGGUGAGAGGGGGCGGCGCGGUGAGAGGAGCCCGUGGUCAGGUAGAGAAGGAGCCGCCAGAUUCAGCUUCGAACAGGUAAUGCGCCUCCCUUCCGCCCAUUUGUGAGUGCGAUUGAAGGCAAUCUUUGCUCUGUCUCACGCUGCCCGCCCGCCUAUAACAGAGGGAAUGCUGCUGAAACAUUUGAAUUUGCAAUCAAUUUCUUUCCAUCGACGGCAAAAUUAGUUGAUGGUAGCAUUCAGAACAUCCAGAGAGACACAAUUGUGAAAUGGGAGGUUGAUUGUGCAGAAAUUGAUCCCAAUGAGCUACAGUCGAUGGAAGAGAAGGCAGUGAGGAAAUUGGUAGAGAAAAUUGGGGAAACUGUGCUUUGGGGUCCAGAGCAAGAGGUUUCACUAUUGCGGUAUGAUGAUUUCAAAGGAGAGUAUGUCAGAAUUGAAGAUGGUGAAGAUAUUGUUGUUGAAAUCGAUAGGCAAGAGGGCUGGGCAAGCCUCGGGGCUGAAUUUUUUGCUGAGCUCGUUGAUCUGAAUAUUGACUCGAAGGUAGGUUAUGUGCCGUCACACUUGGCUAUGCAGAAGGCAGAUGAUGAUUGGGCUUCGCAGAGGCAUAUCGUUCCCAUUAUUACGGAUCUAACAGUAAUAGCCGAUAGGGCUAAUGCACAUGCAGAAGAAGGAAAUGUUAAUGUUGUUGAUUGGAAUGCAGUUGAGUUGGAGGAGCCCACUAAUUUGGUCAUUGCACCAAUUGCUGACACUGAGAUGGCCAAACUAUUUGGCAUUCCAGUCGAUGACAGAGAUGAGGAGGAGAGGGAUGAAGCUUAAUACGUGAUAAUGAUGACAGAGAAUUGAGUGAUGUAGAUGAACAGUUGAUGAAAGAUGUUGCAGAUGAUGUAGAUGAUGCACAUGAUGAAGAGCUAGUGCAUGUGUAUGACAAGGAAAACCCUGUCAUUCGAGUGGGGAAGUUGUGGCCAAACAUGGAUGAGUUCAGGUUGUCUUUCAAGACUUAUGCAGUCAGACAUCAGUUUGAUGCCAAGACAGUUUGGACUGACACAAAGAAGUUUUAUGCUAAGUGCAGAGGUUUUGAUGGUAGUGGUAGGAGGGCUUGCAAGUGGUACAUAUCUGCUAGACUGCGGCCUGAUGGAAGUACUGUUAGGGUUAACCAAAUCCCUAAUAAACAUACUUGUCUGACAAGUUCACAGAAAAAAUCAAGCAUGACAUCACAGAUUUGGGUUGCAGAAAAGAUAACUCUAAUUUUGGCCAAAACACCCAACACUACUGCAAAAAGACUCCAAGUAGACUUGGAAAAGUUGUACCCCAUUAAACUGCAUUAUACCACAGUGUGGAAGGCUAAACAAAGGGCAAUGAAGAAUUUGUAUGGUGAUUGGGCAAACACAUUUAGGCUGAUUUUCAAUUUCAAAGCAGAGGUGGAGAAAAGGUCACCUGGCAGUGUUGUCGAGAUAGAUACUGAGGUAACAGAGGAUGGCAAGGUUUAUUUCUCCAAAUUCUUUAUGGCUUUAAAGCCUUGCAUCGAUGGCUUCAAAGCAGGAUGUCAUCCAUAUUUGAGCAUAGACUCAUCAUUUUUGACAGGCAAGUGGAAUGGUCAGUUGGCAGCAUGUAAUGCUCUAGAUGGACAUAACUGGAUGUUUCCAGUUGCUAUUGGCUUGUUUCAGUCAGAGACAGAGGCUUCAUAGACAUGGUUCAUGAUGCAGUUGAAAAGAUGCUUAGGGCCAGUGUCACCUUUGGCAAUACACACAGAUGCAUGCAAAGGUCUGGAAAAUGCAGUUAAAAAUGUGUUCCCACAUGCUGAGCAAAGGGAGUGCUUCGACCAUUUGUGGAUGAAUUUGAUCAAAAAAUUCAGAGGAGAUGAAUUUGGGAGAAUGUGGCCAGCAGCAAGAUCUUACACUAAACAGACACAUUCAUAUCAUCUUAGUAAGGUAAUGGCAACAUGUGAGGAGUUUGGUACAUGGUUGAACACCUACCAUUCUUUAUUAUGGUACAAGUCAGGAUUCAACACUGCCAUCAAGUGUGACCAUAUCAACAACAAUUUGGCAGAAAGUUUCAACAACAAGGUGAAGCAGCUAAAAGAUUUGCCUGUGCAUGACAUGGUUGAUCAAAUCAGGAUCAUGCUCAUGCGGCUGUGGGAAUUGAGAAAAAAGAUUGCUGAUUGUUUGCAAGGUGAUAAACUUCCAGCAGUGGUGCAAUAGGUGGUCAACAGAAGCAGAGGUCUUACACAUUUUUCUGUUGAAAAAUCAUCACUGUGGGGUGCUGAAGUUAGAGAUAACAAGACUGGAAGGAGGUAUGUUGUUAACACUGAAUUGCAUGAUUGCAGUUGCCUCGAAUGGCAGGCCACUGGUAAACCAUGUGAUCAUGCCAUUCUAUUCUUAGCCGGCCAACCAAAGAUAAAUAUGCAUCCAUAUCUGCAUGAGUAUUAUUCGGUAGCAAAACUCAGAGCUGCAUAUGCAACUCCAAUUCCACCUCUUACAGAUCAGGAACAGUGGCCAGAAGUGCCGCUUGAAUAUUCCAUGUGUCCUCCUCUAACAAAAAGAAAGGCAGGCAGACCUAAACAGAGUAGAUUCAAAGCAAGGUUUAAAAAAGGUGAAAGUAGUAAGAAGGGCAAGAAGGACAAGAAAGAUGCAAAGCCAAAAAGGGCUCAAAAGGGUAACAAAAACAUAUGCAAGAGGUGCCAAAUACUUGGGCACAGAGAGGGAUCCAGACUAUGCAUUUUCUCUCCUCCUAAUCCGAGAAAGUAUGUGCUUGUUUAUUUGUGUUUGUUCAUAUUCUGGUUUUGUAUAAAUUAUAAAUAUGUGGCAUGCUUUGUUGUUUUCAGGAGAAAGCUUCCAAGUCAGCCUAUUGUUGUUGAACAGUCUUGGCCAACAAAAAGAGCAAGAGUGAGUGGCAGCAGAAGGCAAACAAGUCAGUGGAUGUAACAGUUUGGUGCUGCAAGUGACGAAAUUGAAGCUGUGCACACUGUCGAAACUGUCGAAACUGAAGCUGUGCACACUAUCGAAACUGUCGAAACUGAAGUUGUGCACACUGUCGAAACUGAAACUGAAGCUGUGCACACUGUUGAAACUGUCGAAACUGAAGCUGUGCACACUGUUGAAACUGAAGCUGAUCAAACUGAAUAUGCUAUCGAGUUUCAUGAGGUGAUAGCAUCGAGUCCAGUGAAGAAAACCAAGAUGAUCAGUGAACUUGUGUGUGCAGUACAACCAAAAACAAAAAAUGCUAAGGCGAAGAAGGGUACACGACGUGGUCGGAAGAGAUAGAACUGUUGAUCAUUUGAAAUUUAUGGCAUGUAAUAAAAUUUGUUGGGCACUAUGUACCCACAUGUUUCCAUCAAAACUUGUUUGAUUAUUAUUGUUUUCAAACUGAAUUUCAAAUUUGAUGAAAAUAAAAAUUUCGGUUUAAAUUCAAAUUUGGAGUAAGUUGAACUUUUGAUUCGGGUAUGAUGUUUCAAUGCUACCACAACAACUCAAAUAUGGUUGUUAUGUCAUCAUUCUGAGCUCUUUUGUUAAGUUAGAGCCAUAGUCAUGAAAAAUGUGUGACAAACGACCUCAUAAGGUAGGGUAAACGCCAUCUUCUUAAAGGCAUUUUCCUGUAAAUGUAUAUAAACCAUGUUUAUAUAUAUUUUUGGUUGCUAUGCAACAUAAUACGACUAUGGGCACAAGUUUUGAUUUUUUUUUAAUUUUUUUUUGAAUUAUUUGUGCUCAUUUGAAAAAUAGUCAACUUUUUCACAAAAACGUUGACCGACUCAAAAUCAAAGUUUAUAUUUUUGUUUGCUAAGUAUGUGAUGUAAAAUGACAAUGUGUGCUGUUUUUUUUUUGAUUAUUUUGAAUUAAUUAUGUUCAACCUUAGCUUAUUUCGUCGAUAUCGUGAACGUGUGAAUUUUGGUUUUAAACUUUGCAUAUAACAAGUUUCCAUUUUUUUAUAGCAACUCAGUUGAAUAAGUACACAAUGUGCGUUGGUUUUGUAUUUUUUGAAUUACGUAUGCUCUAUCCUAGCUCAUUUCAUCAAUACCAUGAAUUGUAUGAAUCUUUUUCAUUGAUACAUGGAUGUAACAAGAAUCAAUUUUUUAUAGCAACGUAGUUGCAUCAGUAGACAGUGAGAGAAAGUUUCAUAUUUUUUUUGAAUUUUUUAUGCUCAACUCUAGCUCACUGCAACCCUAAACCCCGAAAACCCCUUCCGAAACCCCGUCAUAGUACAUUGUACAUGGUAACAAAAUCCCAUCUUCUUGAAGGCAUUUUCCUGCAAUUGUAUAUAAACCAUGUUUAUAUAUAUUUUUGAUUGCUAUGCAACAUAAUACAACUAUGGGCAGAAGUUUUGAUUAUUUUUUGAAUUAUUUGUGCUCAUUUGAAAAUUAGUCAACUUUUUCAAAAAAACGUUAACCGACUCAAAAUCAAAGUUUAUAUUUUUGUUUGCUAAGUAUGUGAUGUAAAAUGACAAUGUGUGUUGGUUUUAUAUUUUUUUUGAUUUUUUGAAUUAAUUAUGUUCAACCCCUAGCUCAUUUCGUCGAUAUCGUGAACGUGUGAAUUUUGGUUUUAAACUUUGCAUAUAACAAGUUUCCAUUUUUUAUAGCAACUCAGUUGAAUAAGUACACAAUGUGCGCUGGUUUUGUAUUUUUUGAAUUUUUUUUUUGAAUUACUUAUGCUCUACCCUAGCUCAUUCUAUCAAUACCAUGAAUUGUGUGAAUCUUUUUCAUUGAAACAUGGAUAUAACAAGAAUCAAUUUUUUUAUAGCAACGUAGUUGCAUCAGUAGACAGUGAGAGAAAGUUUCAUAUUUUUUUGAAUUUUUUUGAAUUUUUUGUGCUCAACCCUAGCUCACUGCAACCCUAAACCCCAUAACCCCGGAAACCCCAUCCGAAACCCCGCCAUGUUUAUAGGCAUCGAUCAUUGCUGAGUGAGCGGUUGAAUCUGACGUCGAUCCGCGUGUGCUGAUUGGCUGGCGAGCGGGGGUUUGGAUCGAGGGCCCGAGUGAGGGCCUGUCCGUUGGAUCUAGUCAGUUCGGUGAAGAUCCGACGAUUGGAAAUGAAUCGGUGCAUGGAUGUGGCGUACGCGCUUCUGACUUCGUGUGCUUCUUUGUUGCAUGACACGCGUCAGUUUUUUUGCAUGCAUGCACGCGUCGCAUCAGAGCCAUUAGCAGCGCAUCGAGGACCGCAGUCUGAAUGGGCUCUGAAUAUGAGGGGCAUGCUCGACGCGGUGCACCGACGAAAGUCUGAAGGGUGGGCGUGCUCGACGCAGCGCUCGACGCAGUGUGUGAAUCGACAACGCACCCUUUGAUCCAAUAGGCAAACGCAAAUGGGCGGCAUCCAUUAAUUGCGGCAACUGAAUCGACGAAGCGGCGCAGCCCAAAACCUGCUAUUUAACCCUCCUCUCGUGCACAUCUAACCUUCAUCUUCCUCCUUGCCCUCCUUCUCCCCAGCCCCCCCUCGCAUCACAUCCAAGCAACCGCAAGCCCCAGCAUGGAGUUCCACGGCCCGACGUUCCAAGCGCCCGGCACCAGGCCGGAAAGGAUGUACCCCGCUGGGGUCGUCGUGGAGAACCAGCUCCGGGUCUGGGCUAUGUCGCGCUCGCGGGGUGGAUGGGAGUUCGCGGGGCUCUUCCUUCGCGCCCUGUAUCGCCACCUCCCUAUGGGAACUCCCCAGAUGUUCACCAUCGACGAGUCUCGCAUGGGAGGAACCGGCAUGAUCGUGCGCUUCCGCAACCCCUACGACGCGUAUCACCUCCUCGGCCGUGUCUGGUUUGGGGGGGGUGCGAGUUCAUCUGCUUCACCACCUACAACAUCUUCACCGACCUCGACAGCAUCUGGCCCAACGAGCACGCCAUGCACACCCUCCCCUACAACCUGCCGGCCGACGACGAUGACGAGUGAGGGCGCCCGAGGAGUGAAGACGCGCGCCCGUCGCCCCUCCAUGUCGGGUUUAUCAUAGUUUCUUUCUUAUCUAUCGUAUCUGUAAGGUUAAACACUAUCGUAUCUGUAAGUUUAUUGUAAUCGUACUGUUGUGCCCGCCCGCUACUACUACGUACUGUUGUGCCAGUUUAUGUGAUGUGUUUAUCUUAUCUAUGUUGUGCACAUCUAUGUGUUUAUCUAUUUAUCAGUGACGCAGUGCACCAGGUGAUUGAUCCUUUCUUGUCACCAUUCAUGGUUCUGUUCUACAUUACGAUUAAAGGAACUAAUCUCUCUUUAAGCUCUCGUUUGGUUGACCCAGGAGCAGCAAGGCAGCAAUGGAGGGGCCAAUGGAGAGGCGCAGCCGCAACGACUAAGGGGCGGGCCAGAAAAGAAGCAGCCAGAAGACGUUCCUUUCCUCGUGUGGAUCUGUUCCAGCCCCUGUUCCACGCAUCACAGGCGAUUCUGCAGCGACUAAGGGGCAGAAAAGGAGCAGUCAGAAGACGUGCCCGACGUUCCUCACGUGUAGUACUAGCUCUGUAGAUAAUGGGCCCGUAGAUAAUACACUUGUAAAUAAUUGACCACGUGGAUCGGGCUGUGAUCCACGUUGAUUGUAUCCUAACCAAAGAAGGCCUUAGGCCGUGUUUGCAAUGGUUGUAAUUAAAUAAAUAGGUGUUUAUUUUACACUUGUAUCUUGCAGGCAGCUUAGGUUGCAAUGGUUGUAAUUAAAUAAAUGGUUGCAAGAAACUGGUUAUUCCAAACAUAUUUUCAUGGAAUAUGUUACAUGUACAACGUACAUGUCUUAGUAAAUAAUACAGAUCAGAUUAGAUGUUCAACCCUGGUAAGAUACAUGAACUUGGAUUGUUGUAUAUAAUCCGUCGUUUUUAUUUCCUAUUGGAAAUCAUACAUGACCAUUCAAAUAAUUUUGGGCCUGGUUAUUCAUAUUAAAAUCAGUACUAGCUCUGUAAAUUACACCUUUGGGCCUGGUUAUUCCUCAACUUCAGCGUCAUGGCCCAACAUCUAUUCGUCAGCCCACGAAUAAUUUUUUUGUACUGAAACUGAACUUUGUUUGGUCUCGCACUCGGCAGCCCAAUUUUGUUUUUUACUACAAACUGAAUUUGGGUGUGUACUCUGUUAACUGAAGAACAAAAACACAAGAAACACAACAUGAAAACUGAAUAAUUUGUGUUCCAAAUUGCUGAUUCAUUUAAGAUACAUGGACUUGUCAUGGCGCACAGAUCACAUCAUCUACCCUGGACAGACCUAAAUGCCCCCUCUAAUGACGAUGAAUAGCAAGUAAAACAUAAACAGAGCAAUGACACAGCAAUAAAAAAACACUGCCAUGAUAUUUGCUUGCUUCUGCAAAUCGACCAUCUCCCUUUGAUUUUUCUUGAUCUUCUUCAGUUCAUCGGUCAGUUCAGACUCCAAGUACCUCGCCAUCGGCACAACUCUGCCCGCCCCUCUGUCCGAGCUCCCCCAAUUCUCCAUCUGCGGCACCCCGCCCAAAUUGAGCUCCUAGGUUGCGGCCACGCUAGAAUCAAUGUAGCCCUCAGACUUAAUCCUCUGAACAUAUUCAUCAAUCCACUCGAAAUGUGUGCAUUUCUUCAGGAUCUGCAAACCACAAAAUGAACCCUAAAUCUCAAAUUCGAGGAGAAAAAACAAAAUAUGGAGAAAUCAAAGCAAACAACAGCGAAAGAACGGACUUAGAACUGAGAUCUAACCUUGCCAUCCCUUCCUGCCAUUGGUUUGCUCAAGCAUUUCACAAACUCCCGCCCAAGAUUGCCAUUCUCAUCCGUCUUAGUCACCAACCGUUUGAGAGGUUCUGGGCGUUGGCAGUUAGGGCACCUUGUGAGCAUCACUGGACCAUACUGACGCCAGUUUGAUUGCGUGGAGGAGGAGGUGGACAUCUGCACUAGGUUGCCGGAGACCCGAUGAAGAAUGGGGAAAGGGGAAAGCAAUGGGCGGCGGCGGACGGACGGGCACGGGCGGAAUCGCUUCUAGCCGUGACAAGGUAGGUCCCGCGCUUACUGGACAAGUGGUGGGUCCCGUGCUUACGUGGAUACGUUGUGGGUCCAACCCAUAACAGCUAAUGAGGAUAUCAGUUCAGCUUAAGGGCCAUGUCGCACAUGAGCUAUUUACUCGCUCAAAAGUGUCGCUACCAAGCCAUUCUGUCGAACAACGUCUCAUUCCAUCCAAUUCCCAGAAAAGACGUCGCACAUGAGCUAUUGGCCCGUCGAGCAUCCAUGGCCCGGCCAUCUGGUCGCAAACGUUCACUCACAAAUUUCAACUUGGAGACGAUGGGUGCCUGCCUAGAUUUCUUGAGCAACCACACAAUGUGUGACCUCUAAUCCAGAGGAAGACCAAGAUGGAAUUCAACCUGAAUUUGGAACGACCGCUAGAGAAAUAUAAAUUGCGUAUAGUUCUACUCCCUCCGUUCUUAAAUAUAAGUCUUUUAAAAGAUUUCACUAUGGACUAAAUGCAGAUGUAUAUGGACAUAUUUUAGAGUAUAGAUUCACUUAUUUUGCUCUGUAUGUAGUCCAUAAUGAAAUCUCUAAAAUGACUUAUAUUUAGAAACAGAGGAAGUACAAUCAAGUAAAUACAAAUAUAAUACUGAUAUAGUAGGCCGAGUUCCCCAAAUCAAAUAAGUAACGUGUUAGCUACUGCUGGUUGUUAGCUGCCUUCGACACUCCGAUCAAUGAUCAUGAAUAUUUUUUUGUCUGUUUUAAACCCUGAUUUUUCACCAGCUCAACUCUCAAUAGUUGAAUUUUCACACUAAAAUUUUGCAUACGUAUUUUCUGGGUUGCAAAUUCCAUUUGCUAAAUUGGCUGGGUUGAUCCUAAAUUUUCAUACAAGUGUUUCUUAUUAGUAAGUACAAAGCUGAAAAACAAAAGAUUCUCCAACUGCAAUUUUUGCAACAACACAGAGAAGAUUUUGCAACAAUGAUCACUUUCACAAUCUCAGGAAAGUUUCGGGUAGAGUAUGCUCAUUUACUAUGCAGGAACUGAAGUCUCGUGUGAAGAGAGUUUUACUAGUAUGUAAGAAGCAUAUGCUAACUAAAGUUAUAUGAUGCCACAGACAAGAUCUAUAGGAUGUGCUCAACUCAAAUUAUCGCUGAACUAAUUCGGCAGGGCUGAAUCUUGUCUUACAGUGAUAAUAUUUGAAAUCCCGUAGCACUUAUUCUACAUAGCAGGCCAAUGCUAGUAUGCUAUGGAGUACUUCCUUCGUCCCAAAAUAAGUGUUGCAAGUUUAGUAUAAUUUUGUAUUAAAGCUAGUACAAACUUGAGACACUUAUUUUGGGACGGAGGGAGUAUGAUUUAAGCUCAGGAUGAUCAAGAUUGUCCAGAGAUUUGCUUUUCAACAAUGCGUUUCACUUCUAAGUUUCAACCAUAUUAAGAAGACAUAUUUGAAACUUUCAAGUUUUCGAAAGUGAUAGAAACGUCUACCACGAAACGUGAUCAAAAUUGCCAAUCUCUAUGUUGCGCUACUAAAGGUACAAAACAACUAAAUGACUACGCAAAUUAUGAAAAAGAAAUUCUAACAAAGCAAGAUGACAUACCAUGAACGCUAAAAGUAUUAUUUGAAAGGGAAUAUUAUAGGUGAGACACUAUAUAUACACACACAUCAUAUUAGAUGGUAACAUAUGGUACUGUCACUACAAAACUAGCUAAGACGAAUAAAGUUAUAUGUUCCACCAAAAGGUAAAAUGAGCAGGAUUGAGAGGUACAAAACACCCGCGCCUAAAGAGGUUGAACUGAUAUUGUAGUACGUUUAAUUUAAAUGAAAAAAGAAACACACUCACAAAGUCAUCAGUAACACCAAUGUACUUCCUCCGUUCCUAAAUAUAAGUCUUUGAAGAGAUUUCACUAGGGGUCUACAUACGAAGCAAAAUAAGUGAAUCUAUAUUCUAAAAUAUAUCUAUAUACAUUCGUAUAUAGUACAUUAACGAAACCUCUAGAAAGACUUAUAUUUAGGUACGGAGGGAGUAUUACAUUGUGAAAUUACCCCGUAUGUCAGGUUAGAAAACUGAAUUGCUAACCACUAGUACAGAAAGGAGCAUUAAAGGUGUCCCAGGGAUCCAAUUUUGACAAAAGAAUAAUCCAGUCACUUGUAAUAGCCCAUCGGAGACAGUUAUGUUGGUUUGAGAAACUAUCUGAGGAGGUUAUAAAUUGAAACCACCUAUAGAAAUUGGUUGUAAUAUCACAACCUUAUUUGAAUUUAGCUUUUUAAUGUGCAACCAAUGAAGAAAAGAGCCCCGGAUUGCUACACUCCCCCAUGAACAGCUCAGUUGCCAAUCCCAUGGAGUGAGCCACAGGUUCCACGUUUACCAUGAAACCACUGUGAACACUUCUGGUUCAAAUAUAAAUCCAUGAAAAAACAAACAAAAGCAAUAUAUAUAUAUAUAUAUAUACACACAAAAAAAAAAAACA
Molecule: long non-coding RNA, 11479 nt
Filed under: Hordeum vulgare
Lineage: Eukaryota; Viridiplantae; Streptophyta; Magnoliopsida; Poales; Poaceae
Description: long non-coding RNA (HVUL_LNC001843)
Source: RNAcentral